RNAcentral lists this ribosomal RNA (460 nucleotides) under uncultured bacterium. RNAcentral describes it as "partial 16S ribosomal RNA". It matches the Rfam family "Bacterial small subunit ribosomal RNA", at positions 338 to 795 of the family's 1533-position model. The record is from RNAcentral.
CCUACGGGCGGCAGCAGUGAGGAAUAUUGGUCAAUGGACGAGAGUCUGAACCAGCCAAGUAGCGUGAAGGAUGACUGCCCUAUGGGUUGUAAACUUCUUUUAUAUGGGAAUAAAAUGUUCCACGUGUGGGAUUUUGUAUGUACCAUAUGAAUAAGGAUCGGCUAACUCCGUGCCAGCAGCCGCGGUAAUACGGAGGAUCCGAGCGUUAUCCGGAUUUAUUGGGUUUAAAGGGAGCGUAGGUGGAUUGUUAAGUCAGUUGUGAAAGUUUGCGGCUCAACCGUAAAAUUGCAGUUGAAACUGGCAGUCUUGAGUACAGGAGAGGUGGGCGGAAUUCGUGGUGUAGCGGUGAAAUGCUUAGAUAUCACGAAGAACUCCGAUUGCGAAGGCAGUUCACUGGACUGCAACUGACACUGAGGCUCGAAAGUGUGGGUAUCAAACAGGAUUAGAUACCCUAGUAGUC